AAAAGAAACCAACAGGGAUUGCCUCAGUAGCGGCGAGUGAAGCGGCAAAAGCUCAGAUUUGAAAUCGCCUUUCGGGGCGAGUUGUAGAUUGCAGGUGGGAGAGUUUGUGGAGGCGCGUGCCGAAGUCCCUUGGAACAGGGCGCCAUUGAGGGUGAGAGCCCCGUGCGACGCGUGCCGAAGCUUUAACUCCCCUCUGACGAGUCGAGUUGUUUGGGAAUGCAGCUCUAAGUGGGUGGUAAAUUCCAUCUAAGGCUAAAUACUGGCGAGAGACCGAUAGCGAACAAGUACUGUGAAGGAAAGAUGAAAAGCACUUUGAAAAGAGAGUGAAACAGCACGUGAAAUUGUUGAAAGGGAAGGGUAUUGGGCUCGACAUGGGAAUUGCGCACCGCUGCUCAUUGUGGGCGGCGCUCUGGGCUUUUCAUGGGCCAGCAUCGGUUUUCGCCGCAGGAGAAGGGGCUGUGGAAUGUAGCUGCUUGCAGUGUUAUAGCCACUGGCCAGAUGCUGCGUGUGGGGACCGAGGGCUGCGACAUCUGUCUCGGAUGCUGGCACAACGGCGGC
Molecule: ribosomal RNA, 558 nt
Filed under: [Candida] sp. R-859
Lineage: Eukaryota; Fungi; Ascomycota; Saccharomycetes; Saccharomycetales
Description: eukaryotic LSU rRNA
Rfam family: Eukaryotic large subunit ribosomal RNA
Source: RNAcentral